This 505-nucleotide ribosomal RNA is filed under the name uncultured bacterium. Its description in RNAcentral is "bacterial SSU rRNA". It matches the Rfam family "Bacterial small subunit ribosomal RNA", at positions 903 to 1397 of the family's 1533-position model. The record is from RNAcentral.
AAAUGAAUAGACGGGGGUCCGCACAAGUGGUGGAGCAUGUGGUUUAAUUCGACGCUACGCGAAGAACCUUACCUGGGCUUGACAUUCUUAUGAUCGCUUUGUGAAAGCUUAGCUUUCUGCCCGCAAGGGUAGACAUUUGAACAGGUGUUGCAUGGUUGUCGUCAGCUCGUGCCGUGAGGUGUUGGGUUUAGUCCUCUAACGAGCGCAACCCCUAUUGCCAGUUGCCAUCGGGUAAUGCCGGGAACUCUGGCGAGACUGCCCGGGAUAACCGGGAGGAAGGCGGGGAUGACGUCAAAUCAUCAUGGCCCUUAUGUCCAGGGCUACACACGUGCUACAAUGGCAGAUACAAAGGGUCGCAAAAUCGCGAGAUGGAGCCAAUCCCAAAAAGUCUGCCUCAGUUCGGAUUGCAGUCUGCAACUCGACUGCAUGAAGCUGGAAUCACUAGUAAUCGCGGGUCAGCUACACCGCGGUGAAUACGUUCCCGGGCCUUGUACACACCGCCCGU